Magnolia sinica is the source of this 1531-nucleotide long non-coding RNA. RefSeq lists it as uncharacterized. The record is from RefSeq and is a predicted model, not a curated record. The transcript is spliced from 2 exons. Lineage: Eukaryota; Viridiplantae; Streptophyta; Magnoliopsida; Magnoliales; Magnoliaceae.
AUGCGCUUUCUCCUUUAAAUUUGUUAGCUCUAGUGUAGCCAAUAAACCUUUGGAAUUUGUACUUUCUAUAUCUACUGACAAAAUCUGUUUCCCUAUUAGAUACAUUUCAUUGAUGAUCUUAGUAGAUUUUCUUUUGAAAAGCUCUUUUUUUUUGUACUUUUUGUUUUUUAAUGGAAAAGCAUUUCAUUGAUGAUGUUAGUAGAUUUACAUGGUAUUUUUCCUUGGUAUGCAAUUAGUGUUUGUUCAAAGAUUUAAAUUGAACAGUGAGAAUAUGUUUUGCAUAAUCAAAAGUAUUCAAACUAAUGGUGGCAGUUAAUACAUGAAGUUCAAAACCUUUCUUGAAAUACAUGGCAUUAUUCUCUGCUUCUCUGUUCCUGCCUCAUUAAUUCUCUGUGGUGACCAAUGCCCCAAUCCCACCUGUUACGCCAUUCAAUGCUAUUUUUGUUUUUUAAGUUUUUCUCUUUAACCAGGUAUUUUCUCAAACACAUUAAAUCUUUUCGAUUCUCUUUUUUAUUAUCAAUUUCUUUAAGGUUCUGGCUAUGGAUUUUUUAAUUCGGUUAUGGCUAUGUACUGACUCAUCCUCUUUACGUGGCACUAGUGUACAUCCGCACUAUCCAAAUUGUAGGGUCCCAUUGUGAAUGGAGUAUAUCUCUAAAAUCACAAUAAUCACCAAUUAAUGUGUAUUAAAUGGAUGGUUAAAAGUAAAAUAGUAAGUGGUAUAAAUUCAAAGGAAAAAACAAAUGCAAGGGCAUUUUCACACUGGGCUCGAGUGGGAUGGCCUAUUAGAUGCAGGGGCACUUGGGAUGGGCAGCCCAUGUGAAGCAAGUAGCUUGUGUGAGUCAAGCUCCACCCGUGUGAGGCAGGUAGCUCGUGUGAGGUGAAACCCAUAUGAUGUGGGGCCCAUGAGGGGUUCGACCAAUGACCUAACUGAUGGGGUGUGGAGCCCGGGCUAUGAGAUACAAUGAUUGAUUCACCACGCUCUAUCAGUUUGAGCUUUUAGAGCAAGCGACUACUUGUCCUACAUUAAAGUGAUAUAUUGUGGGUGAUUAAUGCAUGAACAUUUUCAUACAGGGCUCAAAUGAGGUGGCUUGUGAGAUGCAGGGGUACACCGGUGGUGAGCGGUCUGUGUGAGGUAGGUGGCUCGUGCGAGUCAGGCCCCACCCGUGUGAGGCGGGGUGCUAUACUACUAUGCAACGCAUACAAUUGAAGGUUCACCAACAUUUGUUAAAUGAACAUCGGUAGGGGAGAUUACUGCUGCAUGACUCAAAGAAAGUCGAUUUCUAUCAUCCAGAGGCAACCCCAAAUUUCUUGCAUUUAACAUCAAAGUCUUGUCAUCCAACAAUGUGGACGGUUCAUCAUGUGCUUCCUCGCUUUUAAUUUCCUGUCUCCAUUAAAUCUGUGGACUCUAGUUCCUUUUUAUGUUAUAUUUGUACCCAAUAAACCUUUGGAAUUUGUACUUUCUAUAUCUAGUGACGAACUCUGUUUUACAGUUGGAUAUAAUGAAUGAUGUUAAUAGAUUUUUAUUGGGAAA